Molecule: long non-coding RNA, 709 nt
Filed under: Homo sapiens (human)
Lineage: Eukaryota; Metazoa; Chordata; Mammalia; Primates; Hominidae
Description: long non-coding RNA NONHSAT152230.1
Source: RNAcentral
AAGGAGUGCUUGUGGAGAUCGGAUCUUUUCUCCAGCAAUUGGGGGAAAGAAGGCUUUUUCUCUGAAUUAGCUUAGUGUAACCAGCGGCGUAUAUUUUUUAGGCGCCUUUUCGAAAACCUAGUAGUUAAUAUUCAUUUGUUUAAAUCUUAUUUUAUUUUUAAGCUCAAACUGCUUAAGAAUACCUUAAUUCCUUAAAGUGAAAUAAUUUUUUGCAAAGGGGUUUCCUCGAUUUGGAGCUUUUUUUUUCUUCCACCGUCAUUUCUAACUCUUAAAACCAACUCAGUUCCAUCAUGGUGAUGUUCAAGAAGAUCAAGUCUUUUGAGGUGGUCUUUAACGACCCUGAAAAGGUGUACGGCAGUGGCGAGAAGGUGGCUGGCCGGGUGAUAGUGGAGGUGUGUGAAGUUACUCGUGUCAAAGCCGUUAGGAUCCUGGCUUGCGGAGUGGCUAAAGUGCUUUGGAUGCAGGGAUCCCAGCAGUGCAAACAGACUUCGGAGUACCUGCGCUAUGAAGACACGCUUCUUCUGGAAGACCAGCCAACAGAAUGAGAUGGUGAUCAUGAGACCUGGAAACAAAUAUGAGUACAAGUUCGGCUUUGAGCUUCCUCAGGGGCCUCUGGGAACAUCCUUCAAAGGAAAAUAUGGGUGUGUAGACUACUGGGUGAAGGCUUUUCUUGACCGCCCGAGCCAGCCAACUCAAGAGACAAAGAAAA